This 365-nucleotide ribosomal RNA is filed under the name Arxiozyma heterogenica. RNAcentral describes it as "Kazachstania heterogenica partial small subunit ribosomal RNA". It matches the Rfam family "Bacterial small subunit ribosomal RNA", at positions 504 to 918 of the family's 1533-position model. The record is from RNAcentral. Lineage: Eukaryota; Fungi; Ascomycota; Saccharomycetes; Saccharomycetales; Saccharomycetaceae.
UGUGCCAGCAGUUGCGGUUAUACAAUGAAGGCUAACGUUAAUCAUAAUGGUUUAAAGGAUUUGUAGAAUGAAUAUUAUAAAUAAUAAUAUUUAGAGUUAAUUAAAAUAUAAUUAAAGAAUUAUAAUAGUAAGGAUGAAAUAAUAAUAAUAAUUAUAAGACUGGUAAUAAUGAAAAUAUUAAUUAAUAAUUAACUGACAUUGAGAAAUGAAAACUAAAGUAGCAAAGCAGAUUCGAUACCUGUGUAGUUUUAGUUGUAAACGAUGAAUACAUAUUUUAUAUAAUAUAUUAUAAAAUAAAAUGAAAAUUAAAGUAUUCCACCUGAAGAGUAUAUUAGCAAUAAUGAAACUCAAAACAAUAGACGGUU